Molecule: long non-coding RNA, 2760 nt
Filed under: Lactuca sativa (garden lettuce)
Lineage: Eukaryota; Viridiplantae; Streptophyta; Magnoliopsida; Asterales; Asteraceae
Description: long non-coding RNA (LSAT_LNC010099)
Source: RNAcentral
UAUUAUUAUUAUUAUUAUUAUUAUUAUUAUUAUUAUUAUUAUCUUGAUUUUGUUUUAAUUUUUGGGUGUUGAUUGAAUUUAGUUAGGUCUUUAUGAUUUAAGAUGAAGGAGAUUGAGAAGAUGAAGAUUAGGGCAAAAGAGUCAUUUUACUUUAAAACCUUUUUUUUAAUGCUGCCAGAGACGAACGUUGCAGCAAAACUAAAUUUGAUUGUUAGUUAUUUGUGUUUUUUUUUUUAAAUUUUUUAUUAUACACAAUAUUCUGCUAAUGUUUGUAAGAAAUAAUCUUUUUCUUUCUCACAGGGCUUGAGUGAUCACUCUCCAAUAUUCAUUAUCCAUCAUGAAAGAUGAAUCACAAGUUUUCUGGUGUUUUGUUUUUUUUUCUUUUUUUAUGGGAAGAUUAGGUCCGAAUAUUAACCGUGAUCAAGGGUUUUUUGGUCAUUUAAUUUGAAAUUUGAAGGAAUUUGACAGGGUUGAAUUGUGUCUGGAUUUUCAACCAAAUGCACCAUUGAAUGGAAUCCACAAUUCCAAUUCUUGGCUGCAAAUCAAUUACCAAAAAUAGUAUUUCAAGAAAAUCCAACAGAACUGAAUUCCGUCCCAAUUGUCAACCAAACACGUCAUGAAAUGGAAUAUCGAAUUCCAAUUCUGUCGGAACCCGCGAUUCCAUUUGUUAGCUGCAGUUUCUAACAUGUAUAUUAUUACUGUUUUGAUAUGGCAGCUCAUGUCACAACUACUUCAAACAAAACAACUGCUUCUGUUUACUGGAUUCUGAUAUAAUUCAAAAAGGCAAGUAAGUUUACUCUUCUACCCUCACAAACUACACUACUAAUUUGACAAUUUAGAAAGUUUUUUUUUUUUUGGAAAAAGAUGGUAUUAUGGUGGCUCAGUUGGACUUAAUCACAUCAUGUCAAAAUUGUUGUUUGUUUUAGACUUCAUGGGGGGACAAAACUUGACAUUGUAUUUUCAUUUGUAUUUUAUAAUCAGUAAGGCUUAUUGAUGAGUAUGAUAAAUUUAUGUAUUUUAUAAUCAGUAAGGCUUAUUAUUGAUGCUCAAUAAGGUGUGUGGUUAUUGCAUUGAAUCUCAAAUAAGGGUGCUGGGUGAUUACCACUGAUUACAAAAAGAUCAUAUGAGUCUAUGACCCUGUUUGUGUAUUUCCAGAAAUACCCAUCUGUUCCUAACCUAAAACUUAUGUUUAUUUAUUAUCUUCAGGAAAUGAUGGGAUUAACACACUUCAUGUUGAUCCAAUCAAAUAAAGAUGUUGAAUAUUGCAUGGAAAACACCUUCAGCAGUUAUUUAGUAGACCUGUUUUUUUUUUUUUUUUGAAAAAAUAUAUAUAUAUUUGUAAUUUAUUCAUUUCUUUUAUUUAUUUUGAAAAGUGUUGUUUUAUUUAGUGAAUUGGGACAUCAGGGAAGGGAAAUGCCACAUGGUGUGUUCUUUGGUGGGUUGAAAUGUUAAAAACAAGAGGAUGCUGUAUCUCUGAUGGGGUAAUAAUCGUUUCCCUUUUGUGAAUAAAAAUGUUAAUAUAUGAGAAUUUUGUUAAAAAAACUUAAAUUUUUUGCAGGAACCUGUUCAUUCACAUCUUAUUGUUGUGGUCAUUAUGUUAAGGAAGUAUCGAUCAAGGUAUUGCAGUUUUUGUUACCAGAUCAUAUCUGAAUAAUUAAAUAGAUAAUUUUGUUUUACUAUUCAUUAUCGAAUAUCAAUGUUUCUGGAAACAAUAGAUGAAUGAUUUAUCAAUCUUCUUAGAGUAAUAUUACGUUUUUGGUCCCUGAGUGUUGUGUAGCUGAUUUUUUCAAAAAUAUUCUGUGAACCACAAGUUCCCUUAUAUUAAUUACUAUUCUUAGUUCCAAUUCCUUUGACAAAAUGCAUUCAUUACUCUGCAACAAGAAAAGGUUUUAGAAACCAAAUAAAGCNAGGAGUUACUUGGAAUGCCGCCAGAGACGAACCUUGCAGCAAAACUAAAUUUGAUUGUUAAUUAUUUGUGUGUUUUUUUUUUUAGUUUUUUAUUAUACACAAUAUUCUGCUAAUCGAUUACUAAAAAUAGUAUUUCAAGAAAAUCCAACAGAACUGAAUUCCGUCCCAAUUGUCAACCAAACACGUCAUGAAAUGGAAUCUCGAAUUCCAAUUCUGUCGGAACCCGCGAUUCCAUUUCUUAGCUGCAGUUUCUAACAUGUAUAUUAUUACUGUUUUGAUAUGGCAGCUCAUUUCACAACUACUUCAAACAAAACGACUGCUUCUGUUUCUACUGGAUUCUGAUAUAAUUCAAAAAGGCAAGUAAGUUUACUCUUCUACCCUCACAAACUACACUACUAAUUUGACAAUUUAGAAAGAUUUUUUUUUUUGGAAAAAGAUGGUAUUAUGGUGGCUCAGUUGGACUUAAUCACAUCAUGUCAAAAUUGUUGUUUGUUGUAGACUUAAUGAGCAGCCUAAAUUUACAUUGUAUUUUCAUUUGUAUUUUAUAAUCAGUAAGGCUUAUUAUUGAUGCUCAAUAAGGUGUGUGGUUAUUGCAUUGAAUCUCAAAUAAGGAUGCUGGGUGAUUACCACUGAUUACAAAAAGAUCAUAUGAGUCUCUGACCCUGUUUGUGUAUUUCCAGAAAUACCCAUCUGUUCCUAACCUAAAACUUAUGUUUAUUUAUUAUCUUCAGGAAAUGAUGGGAUUAACACACUUCAUGUUGAUCCAAUCAAAUAAAGAUGUUGAAUAUUGCAUGGAAAACACCUUCAGCAGUUAUUUAGUAGACCUGUUUUUUUUUUUNUUUUUGAAAAAAA